UCGCCAGACUCCUACGGGAGGCAGCAGUGAGGAAUAUUGGUCAAUGGGCGGGAGCCUGAACCAGCCAAGCCGCGUGAGGGAAGAAGGUACAGCGUAUCGUAAACCUCUUUUGUCAGGGAACAAAGGCGGGGACUAGUCCCCGGAUGAGGGUACCUGAAGAAAAAGCAUCGGCUAACUCCGUGCCAGCAGCCGCGGUAAUACGGAGGAUGCGAGCGUUAUCCGGAUUUAUUGGGUUUAAAGGGUGCGCAGGCGGAUUUUUAAGUCAGCGGUCAAAUCGUGGGGCUCAACCCCAUCCAGCCGUUGAAACUGGCAGACUUGAGUUGGCGAGAAGUACGCGGAAUGCGCGGUGUAGCGGUGAAAUGCAUAGAUAUCGCGCAGAACUCCGAUUGCGAAGGCAGCGUACCGGCGCCAGACUGACGCUGAGGCACGAAAGCGUGGGGAUCGAACAGGAUUAGAUACCCCUGUA
RNAcentral lists this ribosomal RNA (466 nucleotides) under uncultured bacterium. Its description in RNAcentral is "bacterial SSU rRNA". It matches the Rfam family "Bacterial small subunit ribosomal RNA", at positions 328 to 792 of the family's 1533-position model. The record is from RNAcentral.